ACUGAAGCCAAAGAGAGGCUAAUCACUGUUAAUGAUUUUAUUGGGUAAAUCCCCAGU
RNAcentral lists this transfer RNA (57 nucleotides) under Parhyale hawaiensis. RNAcentral's name for it is "tRNA-Asn". Lineage: Eukaryota; Metazoa; Arthropoda; Malacostraca; Amphipoda; Hyalidae. The record is from RNAcentral.